CCGGAUUUAUUAGGUUUAAAGGGUCCGCAGGCGGAAUAUUAAGUCAGUGGUGAAAGCCUACAGCUCAACUGUAGAACUGCCAUUGAAACUGUUAUUCUUGAGUAUGGAUGAAGUGGGCGGAAUAUGUCAUGUAGCGGUGAAAUGCAUAGAUAUGACAUGGAACACCAAUUGCGAAGGCAGCACACUAAACCAUUACUGACGCUCAUGGACGAAAGCGUGGGGAGCGAACAGGAUUAGAUACCCUGGUAGUCCACGCCGUAAACGAUGAUCACUAGAUGUUGGCGAUAUAAUGUCAGCGUUCAAGAGAAAUCGAUAAGUGAUCCACCUGGGGAGUACGUUCGCAAGAAUGAAACUCAAAGGAAUUGACGGGGGCCGCACAAGCGGAGGAGCAUGUGGUUUAAUUCGAUGAUACGCGAGGAACCUUACCAAGGCUUAAAUGUAAUAUGACCGGUUGAGAGAUCAACCUUUUUUCGAACAGAUUACAAGGUGCUGCAUGGUUGUCGUCAGCUCGUGCCGUGAGGUGUCGGGUUAAGUCCCAUAACGAGCGCAACCCCUAUUUUUAGUUACCAGCGAGUAAUGUCGGGAACUCUAGAAAAACUGCCUGUGCAAACAGAGAGGAAGGUGGGGAUGACGUCAAAUCAUCACGGCCCUUAUGUCUUGGGCUACACACGUGCUACAAUGGUUACUACAAUGUGAUGCCAUCUGGUGACAGAGAGCUAAUCAAUAAAGGUAAUCUCAGUUCGGAUUGGAGUCUGCAACUCGACUCUAUGAAGUUGGAUUCGCUAGUAAUCGUAUAUCAGCCAUGAUACGGUGAAUACGUUCCCGGGCCUUGUACACACCGCCCGUCAAGCCAUGGAAGUUUGGGGUGCCUGAAGUCAGUAACCGCAAGGAACUGCCUAGGGUAAGACGAAUAACUAGGGCUAGUCGUAACAAGGUUACCGU
RNAcentral lists this ribosomal RNA (942 nucleotides) under uncultured Bacteroidota bacterium. RNAcentral's name for it is "bacterial SSU rRNA". It matches the Rfam family "Bacterial small subunit ribosomal RNA", at positions 545 to 1503 of the family's 1533-position model. The record is from RNAcentral. Lineage: Bacteria; Pseudomonadati; Bacteroidota.